Molecule: ribosomal RNA, 511 nt
Filed under: uncultured bacterium
Lineage: Bacteria
Description: bacterial SSU rRNA
Rfam family: Bacterial small subunit ribosomal RNA
Source: RNAcentral
GACGAACGCUGGCGGCGUGCUUAAUACAUGCAAGUCGAGCGAGGUUACUGUUUCGGAUCCCUUCGGGGUGAAGAAGCUUUAACCUAGCGGCGGACGGGUGAGUAACGCGUGGGUAACCUACCCCAAAGUCCGGGAUAACAGCGGGAAACCGCUGCUAAUACCGGAUGCCUUUACCUUGGGGCAUCUUGAGGUAAAGAAAGGCAACGCUUUGGGAUGGGCCCGCGUCCCAUUAGCUAGUUGGUGAGGUAACGGCUCACCAAGGCGACGAUGGGUAGCCGGCCUGAGAGGGUGGACGGCCACACUGGGACUGAGACACGGCCCAGACUCCUACGGGAGGCAGCAGUAGGGAAUAUUGCGCAAUGGACGGAAGUCUGACGCAGCGACGCCGCGUGAGCGAUGAAGGUCUUCGGAUCGUAAAGCUCUGUCCUUGGGGAAGAAGGCGAAAGCUUGACGGUACCCAAGAAGAAAGCCCGGCUAACUACGUGCCAGCAGCCGCGGUAAAGUCACGUCG